GGCAGCAUAGGUGCUUGCACCUGAUGGCGAGUGGCGAACGGCUGUAGUAAUGCAUCGGAACGUGCCCAGUCGUGGGGGAUAACGCAGCGAAAGCUGUGCUAAUACCGCAUACGAUCUAUGGAUGAAAGCGGGGGACCUUCGGGCCUCGCGCGAUUGGAGCGGCCGAUGUUAGAUUAGGUAGUUGGUGAGGUAAAGGCUCACCAAGCCUACGAUCUAUAGCUGGUCUGAGAGGACGACCAGCCACACUGGAACUGAGACACGGUCCAGACUCCUACGGGAGGCAGCAGUGGGGAAUUUUGGACAAUGGGCGAAAGCCUGAUCCAGCAAUACCGCGUGCAGGAAGAAGGCCUUCGGGUUGUAACCUGCUUUUGUACGGAACGAAACGGUCUGGAUUAAUACUCUGGGCUAAUGACGGUACCGUAAGAAUAAGCACCGGCUAACUACGUGCCAGCAGCCGCGGUAAUACGUAGGGUGCAAGCGUUAAUCGGAAUUACUGGGCGUAAAGCGUGCGCAGGCGGUUUUGUAAGACAGGCGUGAAAUCCCCGGGCUCAACCUGGGAAUUGCGCUUGUGACUGCAAGGCUAGAGUACGGUAGAGGGGGGUAGAAUUCCGCGUGUAGCAGUGAAAUGCGUGGAUAUGCGGAGGAACACCGAUGGCGAAGGCAGCCCUCUGGACCUGUACUGACGCUCAUGCACGAAAGCGUGGGGAGCAAACAGGAUUAGAUACCCUGGUAGUCCACGCCCUAAACGAUGUCAACUGGUUGUUGGGAAUUUACUUUCUCAGUAACGAAGCUAACGCGUGAAGUUGACCGCCUGGGGAG
This 819-nucleotide ribosomal RNA is filed under the name uncultured beta proteobacterium. RNAcentral describes it as "bacterial SSU rRNA". It matches the Rfam family "Bacterial small subunit ribosomal RNA", at positions 68 to 880 of the family's 1533-position model. The record is from RNAcentral. Lineage: Bacteria; Pseudomonadati; Pseudomonadota; Betaproteobacteria.